AUAACCAUAUUAGUAUUAGUUAUGAUCUUGAAAUUGAAAAGAUUUGGCGGUAAUUUAGUCUUUUCAGAGGAGCCUGUUCUGUAAUCGAUGAUCCACGAUGGAUUUUACUUAAAGUUUAGCUUGUAUAUCUCUGUCAUUGAGUGUUUUAUUAGAAUUAUUUUCUUUAAAUAUUAAUUUAUAUAAUGUCAGGUCAAGGUGCAACAAUAUUUAAGGUUGAAAUGGGCUACAUUUAAUGUAAUUUAUUGGUAUAUUUGUUGUAAUAUAAAUGUUAAAUAGGAUUUGAAAGUAAUUAUUAAUAAUGAUUCUAGCUCUAAAUUAUGCACACAUCACCCUUCACUCUCAUUUUAAGAUGAGAUAAGUCGUAACAAAGUAAU
Molecule: ribosomal RNA, 374 nt
Filed under: Mozena obtusa
Lineage: Eukaryota; Metazoa; Arthropoda; Insecta; Hemiptera; Coreidae
Description: partial small subunit ribosomal RNA
Source: RNAcentral